UCGCGGAACGGGUGCUGGGAUUGGUUC
RNAcentral lists this non-coding RNA (27 nucleotides) under Bombyx mori (domestic silkworm). Lineage: Eukaryota; Metazoa; Arthropoda; Insecta; Lepidoptera; Bombycidae. The record is from RNAcentral.